AUUGAACGCUGGCGGCAGGCUUAACACAUGCAAGUCGAGCGGAGAUGAGGUGCUUGCACCUUAUCUUAGCGGCGGACGGGUGAGUAAUGCUUAGGAAUCUGCCUAUUAGUGGGGGACCACAUUCCGAAAGGAAUGCUAAUACCGCAUACGUCCUACGGGAGAAAGCAGGGGAUCUUCGGACCUUGCGCUAAUAGAUGAGCCUAAGUCGGAUUAGCUAGUUGGUGGGGUAAAGGCCUACCAAGGCGACGAUCUGUAGCGGGUCUGAGAGGAUGAUCCGCCACACUGGGACUGAGACACGGGCCAGACUCCUACGGGAGGCAGCAGUGGGGAAUAUUGGACAAUGGGGGGAACCCUGAUCCAGCCAUGCCGCGUGUGUGAAGAAGGCCUUAUGGUUGUAAAGCACUUUAAGCGAGGAGGAGGCUACUGAGACUAAUACUCUUGGAUAGUGGACGUUACUCGCAGAAUAAGCACCGGCUAACUCUGUGCCAGCCGCCGCGGUAA
This 501-nucleotide ribosomal RNA is filed under the name uncultured bacterium. RNAcentral describes it as "partial 16S ribosomal RNA". It matches the Rfam family "Bacterial small subunit ribosomal RNA", at positions 30 to 523 of the family's 1533-position model. The record is from RNAcentral.